Molecule: long non-coding RNA, 1429 nt
Organism: Stegostoma tigrinum
Lineage: Eukaryota; Metazoa; Chordata; Chondrichthyes; Orectolobiformes; Stegostomatidae
Exons: 4
Source: RefSeq, a predicted model, not a curated record
AAAAAAAAUGCUGACUUAAGUGCAGCGCCCAGCGAGCAAACAAAAGGGCAACGCCUCUCGUGAGAGUCCUGCAGCUGCCUUGGGACAGCACUAAAGUCUCUCAAAACGUGCUUUGUUGCAAUUCAGUAAUUAAUGUCCUGCAGCCACCGGACACAAUCGGUGUUUUAUUUGCAUCCUCCUCCCCAAAACAAAACCUCUCAUGUUCUCACAACACUCUUCGGAUAGGCCGAAUCUUGUGUUUGCAACUCUCACGCAGGAGCUGUUUCUGGCAUUUAAAACUUUUAGCUGCACAACCUUUUGGAUCGUUCGGGAAAGUGGCUUCUUAGUUCUGUCUAACUGUCGAUGCGGUGGUGCAGCAAAUUAAAACAUCAGCGUGUGGCCCAGAAAGUGAUUUCCAGCAUCUUCAGAAUUUUGCUGUUCAUCCAUGGCUUCAAGAAUUCACCGUAUGAAUUGAAGUCACAGUGGAGCCAUUGCAGCUUGCCAAAUCAUAUCCAAACAUCCCACCGGACUUGAAUUAGGUGAGCGUCAGUUUAUGACGUCAGUGCUAUCAAAGUGGGGACAUGAAACAAUCAAUCUCCAGAGAUUACCAUACUGCAGAAAAAAUUUGCGUAAAUAUUGAUUAUGUAAUAAACAAGGACCAGGAGAAUGACAUUUCAGAUUGUCUCAUCACAACAUCUUAUGCGAGGCACAUAUUCAGCAGUUCGUAUCCUGAACGCAUAUGGAUCAGUAUCUUAUUCUGGCCGUAUAAGCAACAACACUUAAGGGUUCCUAUGUCAUUCGUCCUACUCAUUGUGUAGGUCCAGUGCCUGAGCAUGCUACUUACAAUUUGCACCUUCAGCUGAAUAGCAUGCAUAAAAUGAGCAAAUGGCAAAAAACAAUACUAAAGCUAAAUUGAAAUUUAGGAAACAGUACUGGAAAAGAGAAGUGAGAACAGAAGAAAAGUCUCGGUACAGCAUUGACUGAGAGAUGUGGUCAUUACCGACUCGCUCACUUCCGCAUCACCAUCCCCCUCAACCACCAGCUGGGUUUCCUGCAGCUCAGAGCAACGGAUGAAAUAUGUGAGGAAGUGAAGCAAUCGCUGAACCAACUCCUGUCGUUUACCAAUCACCACAGUUCGGGCUAAUCUUACUGGAGAACCUAUUGCGCCAUGUAGAUCAACUGUCAGAAAAGUAAAUAACUAAAAUUAGAAGAAUACUCUCUAAUGUGAAGCUUUUUUUAGGGGAGGAGCAAAGGCAAAAGAAAUAUUUGAAUGAAGUGAAUAGAUUUCUAUGCUUGCAAAAUGAGCUCUUUUAUGCUUUCAGCAUGGGACUUGUUCCCACCUUGCGGAGUUAGCUCUAUGGAACACUAGUCAAUGCAAAGUAAAGGUUGCUUUAUUUUUCUUUACUCUGCCUACCUGAUACUGAAGACUCCCACCACGUUCAUUAUAGUC